GGUAAUGUUACAUGAAUUCUUGAUUAAAAAAAAUAUUUAUUAUAAGUUCAUGACCUUCAGUAGGCAGAAAAUUAGCUUGGGAUUUAGAAUAUGGAAAUCCCAUUUUUGUCAGGUUUUGGGUGAGACUGAGAAAACAUAAUCUCCCUAAAGUUUUCCUUUAGGGAGAGAUAGUGAUUUUGAUGGGCUUUAUAAAAUGGUCUAACAUAACAUUAGGUCUGUGUAGAAUCAGGAGAUUAGAUUUGAUAAAGCACUGAGUAGACAAAGUAGACAAAGCUCUCGAAAAUAACACUUUGAAAAAAUGGGAGGAAAUUAAUGUUCAGAUUUGUCUUGUCUUGUUUUCUUUUCUUUUUGUUAUAUUGAUUUCCAGGCUUUCACCAGUGAAUUUCACAAUCUUCAUUCAUUGAAAUACUAAGAAUGCAUUUUUUAAUACCUGGAAGGUAUAAUCAAAGACUCUAGGGUCCAUUAUCAGCAAUGCAAGGACACAGAUUUUAUCUGGUAGUUGGAGAAAAGUAGCUCAACCUUGCUCACCUUAUACUUGACUAGCUGCAACCUAAGGUGAGAUGUGUUUCACAUAUAUUAUUAUAUCAAACGACGGGUUUGCAAUGAAGCAACUGAAAAAUAUUAUAAAAGGGUAACAGUCUAAAAAUGGUUGUUAGACUCAGAAUAUAAGUUACAGUGCAUUAGAAACAAAUCUGUAGUGUGAAGUCUCAAAGGGUUUUUUAUUUAUCUUUAGAAACUCGGUGUUAACAAACACCUGCUCUAAAUUUUGUUUGUUAUGAUAGCAACUGCUGCUAUCAUGGGAAACAUUACAAAAAUAACUUCACUCAAAGAGCUCCUUUGUGUGAGAAAGUGCAUAUUUUCCCCAGCAAUUUUUGCUAAAAUAUGCAAAAUACCAUAGCAAUCUUAAUAACCAUAUCCCUACUUAAUGUGUUAGCAUAAAAAAUAACUUCGCAUGUUUCUGUUUGCAGAAAAACAAACUUUUCCAUUUUUCUCUGUGUAUAUUUUGUGUUGUUUUGUUCUGUUUUGGUUUGGUUUUUUUUAACAGAAGAAACUGAUAACAGCUAUAGAAGUUCAGUAUCAUUAUCCUUUCAGAUAAUAAUUUUAAGGAAUGUUAUGAACUAUUGGAGGGGAAAAUGCCAUUGCUAAUGGCUCAUGUACCUACAACUACAAAAUUACAGAGCAAAUGGAUUCUUGUUUUCAAUUGCCCUAAGCAGAACACUAAGACAAUUCUGUUGUACACAGAAUAAAUAAUAAGCUUCAAGUAACUGACAUUUACUAGUAUGUCAUAGAAUCAUUUUUACAGUCAUAGAUGAAACUGCAUUUGCUAAGUUGCUUUCACAGAGCAGGCUUUUCCUUCUGAUAGAUUCCCUACUUCUCAAAGUAUAAUUAAUCUUCCUGUAAAAGCACUGAUCCUAAUCUUUAGUCUGUGUUAAGAUGACUAGAUAUUCCAGUUUUAAUUAUAAAGUCCUUUAUCUUAAUACUCUGCAGAGAUGCCCAUUUGACCCCAUUCCACUUUUGUUUCAUUUGCUCUGUGGCACAUGAUCAUCAUGUAAAAGGAAUAGCACAUGGUCAAAGGGCUCUGUUCAGAGGUGACUUACAUGCUGUCUGCUACCAGAUAUAAUGUAGAUUGCACUAAAAAAAUCAAUAUAUUUCUGCUUUGUAACUUAUAUUGCAUGAUUAUUUUUUGAAGUAGGUUAUUCAUUGUACCACAGAGCAGUCUUUUGGCACCAGAAUCUUCAAAGCAAUUAUGGAAAUGGAGAAAGAAUAUACUGCAGAUUUGGUCCUGCCCAGAAGAGGUGUUGGAACCCUUCUUAUUGGAAACAUCAGUGAAAAAUGAUCAAAAGGAAAGAAAGAUAAAUAGGACAAUCUACUUUCCUUUAACAGGCACUGUGUUUUGUCUGAUAAAAGGCAUAAGACCAAAAGGCAGAAGCAGGCCAUUUCUUUUAUCAAUAGGCUAUGCUGUGAAAAACAAAACUUGAAGCACAAGCAAACAGAAUUGCACUACCAGUAAUGAAGAGAGGUGGCACACGAGGAUGGCAGAUGCUACUUUCUUCGCAGUCUUGAAGAGGGCUGUCUGCUUUGUCAUUAUUUCUUGCCAAGGAUUUUGCAAGCUACUGCUUCAACUGGAUAUUUUCUCUUAUUACUCCCAGGAUCUCCUUGGGAAUUGCAGCUGGCAUCCUUGUUCACUGCCAGAGUAUGUGGUAGCUCUUUCACUUGGUACUCUCAGGCACUCUCUUCACAUCCUCUUGUUAAAAAAAUUUGUUCUCGGAUUAACACGAUUGUGUGUCCAAGGCCUAAUUGUCAUUCUGGAGUGAUGAAUGACACAGCUUCAGGGAAAAAAGUUCCGGAGUGGGAUACGGACCAUAGUAUACUACAUGUGAUGUAAAGAACUAUUAUCAUCUCCCUCACCUGCUUGUCUGUCUUAUAAUUAAAAAAAAAUAAUUGUAUGUAUCUGGAAGAAAUAAUUAAAAUGGAGAUAAUAUUUAUUGCCAUUGCUGGUGAUACUGACAUGACAUAUUAGGGUGUUUAUAUAUCUUUCAAAAAAUGGUUUGUGAUUCUUUUAUGUCAGAUAAGUGAUGAGGCAGGUGUGAUUCCUAGGCAAAACAGACCCCUGCAAAUUGAAUCAGAGUACCAAGGUAAGACUGUCAUUGUGCAAGCCUCUUCUGCCCUGAAGCUAAUGUGUACAGUCUGUUUUAGCAAGUGCUUUCAUAUUUUUGUUAUUUAUUAUAAACAUAUACAGCAUGUAAGUGUUUUUAUUAUUGGCUGACUUUGGUAUUUUGUAGUCACGAUUGUGGUAUUUAAACAGGAGAUGAUCUGUUCUGCACAUGGAAAAGGGGCUGUGUUAUGGAGGAAAUAAUUUUAAAAAGUGUUGCAAUUUUUUGGCAAGAGGGUGUUAUGAUUAUAUCUCAAAGAAUAUACCCGGUGUUCAUUAUGUUCAUGUACAAACCCAUGGCAAUUUGUAUCUGAUUUCUAGUCUGUACCUAGGGAGCAUUGUCUUUGUGUUAGAAAUGCAAGUAUGCUAUUAAUUUGUAAAGUUCUUACAUGUAUAUAGUCUCAUCUAUUUCUUUUUUAGCAGAUAUAUAAUAUUGCUUCCCAAUUUCACCCUAAGAGCUAUGAUUACUUAGAUUAAACGAGGAAUGUCACUUUAAUAGCAACUUUUAUAAAUAAUGGAGAUAUUUUUAUAAAACUUCAUCAUAUUAACUUUGUAUUAAUAUCCAAAAUGCAUUUGGUAUGAUAAAACAGCACAUUGCCAUUGGUUAAGAAAUUCCUUUCAAAGAAUUUGCCUGACAGUGAUUUUUAGAACACAUUUCAAGACUUUCUGAAAAUCUUGAAAUCAAGCAUGACAUUAUUGUGUUAUAAAAAUGUAUUUGGUGAGGGACACAUAGUUAUUUUCAGUUUCCAGAUGAAGCAGAGAUGAUAACUUAUCUCCAGUCACUGCUAGAAAAAAUUUUUAGACACUUGCAGACUGCGGGCUUUUUUUUUCUUCUCCUGCUGCACCAUUGUUGUACAGAGAGAUUAUUUUUACAGGAGACGUUGUGUCCAGGAUAUACAUAUCUAGGUGAAAGUUGUCUCAAGGUAGGAAAACUCCUGAAACAUUCAUCCCUCGCAUCUCAGGGGUAUGAUUUCCAGGCAAAUGCUCAGCUUUAGAAAUUGUGCAUCACAGCACCGUGCAUGUAUAUAUUGGAACACGAAAUGCCAAGUAUAA
Long non-coding RNA from Chiroxiphia lanceolata (lance-tailed manakin), 3706 nucleotides. RefSeq lists it as uncharacterized. NCBI's taxonomy places the organism in Eukaryota, Metazoa, Chordata, Aves, Passeriformes, Pipridae. The record is from RefSeq and is a predicted model, not a curated record. The transcript has 4 exons.